This 497-nucleotide ribosomal RNA is filed under the name uncultured bacterium. Its description in RNAcentral is "partial 16S ribosomal RNA". It matches the Rfam family "Bacterial small subunit ribosomal RNA", at positions 28 to 507 of the family's 1533-position model. The record is from RNAcentral.
GACGAACGCUGGCGGCGUGCCUAAUACAUGCAAGUUGAGCGAUGAAGCUUGGUGCUUGCACCAAUUUGAAGAGCAGCGAACGGGUGAGUAACGCGUGGGGAAUCUGCCUUUGAGCGGGGGACAACAUUUGGAAACGAAUGCUAAUACCGCAUAACAACUUUAAACAUAAGUUUUAAGUUUGAAAGAUGCAAUUGCAUCACUCAAAGAAGAUCCCGCGUUGUAUUAGCUAGUUGGUGAGGUAAAGGCUCACCAAGGCGAUGAUACAUAGCCGACCUGAGAGGGGAAUCGGCCACAUUGGGACUGGGACACGGCCCAAACUCCUACGGGAGGCAGCAGUAGGGAAUCUUCGGCAAUGGACGAAAGUCUGACCGAGCAACGCCGCGUGAGGGAAGAAGGUUUUCGGAUCGUAAAACUCUGUUGGUAGAGAAGAACGUUGGUGAGAGUGGAAAGCUCAUCAAGUGACGGUAACUACCCAGAAAGGGACGGCUAACUACGUG